AAAUUUUUAAUUUAAUAAAAAUAUUUCAUUUACAUUGAAAAAUUAAUUAUUUUUAAUUAAAAUUUA
RNAcentral lists this transfer RNA (66 nucleotides) under Endecameris sp. ZJUH 20220006. Its description in RNAcentral is "tRNA-Val". The record is from RNAcentral. Lineage: Eukaryota; Metazoa; Arthropoda; Insecta; Hymenoptera; Figitidae.